GUCACAAGCUCUAAUAUGUGUACAGAUUCUCAACGUCAUGAUAGUUGCAAACAGAAAUAUGGAACGUUUAAAUAAUGUUUGUUUGUGUUUUUAAAAAAAUCUGAAAAUAAAAGAAUGAAUAGUAUGAUCCAGAUUGAGGUAUGUCUUCAGUCAAGUAAGAGCUAGAUCUAAUAAUAGCUUUGAAAGUGCACAGACUUACAAUAUUUAUUCAUUCUAAACUCCUACUAUCUUACCCACUAUAGCCUUCUAUAGUGGUUUUGGUGGUAGUAGCAACAUGGCACUGUUCCACGGCAAUGGGGCAAAGCAUUUUACAACAGUUUAUCCUCCCUUGCUGUCUUAAGACAUCUGGGUUCUGCAGAGAGGCAGUAUCCUAAUGCCGACCCUCCCUAGAACUUCACCUGACUGCUUUCAGCCAAUGAAUGACAUUCUGUGUGUAGAAAUAUGCACAAAAUAAGCAUUUGCCAGACCAGAGCUCUUGUCCUGGACUGGCUAAUGAUGCCUAAAUGAAGCUGCCAGAGUUAGAGAUACACCUCCUGUAGCAAAGAGGUUAAACUUGGCAUGUGCAGCAUCCAAGCACAUGAUCACUUUAAAUCACUGAAAUGGUCAUGGUGCUUGUAGUAACCCUUUAACACACCUGAUGUUUUGUUUUCUGUUUUUGCAUUUUAUCAACAGAAAGGUACUUGUUUGACAAGUGAUUCCUUAUGGUGAUCACUUAUGGUACAGGAAUACCCCAAUAGAUUUGCUUCUCAUUUUAGAACUGCAAUCUGAUUGGCUCUGAUAAACCACGCAGUGAAGUAUGCAUUUUGGUUUUUACUCUUUGAGGAUAGCUUAUUCAUUUCCCUUUGCUUUCUCUUUCAUGCAGGUUUCCAUUUGAGUGGCACAGUGACAGAGCCUGCAAUGCAGUCAGAGCCAGAAAUUGUUUGCAAUGUAGCCAUCAGCUUUGAUCGUUGCAAGAUUACCUCAGUGACCUGCAGCUGUGGAAACAAGGACAUCUUUUAUUGUGCUCAUGUCGUUGCACUCUCAUUAUACCGCAUCCGCAAGCCGGACCAGGUGAAACUACAUCUUCCUAUUUCAGAGACCCUCUUUCAAAUGAACAGAGACCAGCUGCAGAAAUUUGUACAGUAUUUGAUCACAGUUCACCACACAGAGGUCUUGCCUACCGCUCAGAAACUAGCAGAUGAAAUUCUGUCACAGAACUCUGAAAUAAAUCAAGUUCAUGGUG
Molecule: long non-coding RNA, 1222 nt
Filed under: Pelobates cultripes (western spadefoot toad)
Lineage: Eukaryota; Metazoa; Chordata; Amphibia; Anura; Pelobatidae
Source: RNAcentral